RNAcentral lists this unclassified non-coding RNA (257 nucleotides) under Ascomycota sp. Its description in RNAcentral is "partial contains small subunit ribosomal RNA, internal transcribed spacer 1, and 5.8S ribosomal RNA". The stretch from base 1 to 47 matches the Rfam family "Eukaryotic small subunit ribosomal RNA", at positions 1785 to 1831 of the family's 1831-position model. The record is from RNAcentral. Lineage: Eukaryota; Fungi; Ascomycota.
AAAGUCGUAACAAGGUCUCCGUUGGUGAACCAGCGGAGGGAUCAUUACAAGAAGCCGAAAGGCUACUUAAAACCAUCGCGAACUCGUCCAAGUUGCUUCGGCGGCGCGGGACCCCUCGGGGGACCGCAGCGCCGCGCCCCCCUCCCCAGGGGGACGCGGGGCGCCCGCCGGAGGUCACAAACUCUCAUGUAUUAUAGUGGAUCUCUGAGUACAAAACAAAUAAGUUAAAACUUUCAACAACGGAUCUCUUGGUUCUG